This 468-nucleotide ribosomal RNA is filed under the name uncultured bacterium. RNAcentral's name for it is "partial 16S ribosomal RNA". It matches the Rfam family "Bacterial small subunit ribosomal RNA", at positions 28 to 507 of the family's 1533-position model. The record is from RNAcentral.
GAUGAACGCUGGCGGCGUGCUUAACACAUGCAAGUCGAACGGAAAGGCCCGGCUUUUGUGGGGUGCUCGAGUGGCGAACGGGUGAGUAAAACGCGAGUAACCUGCCCUUGACUGUGGGAUAACUCCAGGAAAAUGGGGCUAAUACCGGAUAGGAGAUCCUGCUGCACGGUGGGGGUUGGAAAGAGUCGGCGGUUGGGGAUGGACUCGCGGCUUAUCAGCUGGUUGGGGGGGUAGUGGCUGACCAAGGGUUUGACGGGUAGCCGGCCUGAGAGGUUGACCAGCCUCCUUAGUACUGCGAUACGGCGCAGUCUCCUACGGGAGGCAACAGUCGGGAAUCUUGCGCAGUGGGCCGACGCCUGUUGCAGCAGCGCCGCGUGCGGGAUACCCUCCUUCUAGUUGUGAACCGCUUUCGCCUGUGACGUAGCGUGCGUGACGGUAAUGAGUAAGGAAGCACCGGCUAACUACGUG